CGGGGUAACGGCCCACCAAGGCGACGAUCAGUAGCCGGCCUGAGAGGGUGAACGGCCACAUUGGGACUGAGAUACGGCCCAGACUCCUACGGGAGGCAGCAGUUAAGAAUCUUGCACAAUGGGGGCAACCCUGAUGCAGCGACGCCGCGUGGAUGAUGAAGGCUUUCGGGUUGUAAAGUCCAGUAAGCAGGGAAGAAUAAGCGCCGGGUAAUAUUCGGUGUGAUGACGGUACCUGCCUAAAGCCCCGGCUAACUACGUGCCAGCAGCCGCGGUAAUACGUAUGGGGCGAGCGUUGUUCGGAAUUAUUGGGCGUAAAGGGCGUCUAGGCGGGGGAUUAAGUUAGAUGUGAAAGCCAUGGGCUCAACCCAUGAACUGCAUCUAAGACUGGUUCUCUUGAGUUCGGGAGAGGAGAGCGGAAUUCCAGGUGUAGCGGUGAAAUGCGUAGAUAUCUGGAAGAACACCAGUGGCGAAGGCGGCUCUCUGGCCUAGAACUGACGCUGAAGCGCGAAAGCGUGGGGAGCGAACAGGAUUAGAUACCCUGGUAGUCCACGCUGUAAACGUUGUAUACUAGGUGUUAGCGGCUUGUCCGCUAGUGCCGAAGCAAACGCAUUAAGUAUACCGCCUGGGGAGUACGCCCGCAAGGGUGAAACUCAAAGAAAUUGACGGGGGCCCGCACAAGCGGAGGAGCAUGUGGUUUAAUUCGAUGAUACGCGAAAAACCUUACCUGGGCUUGAACUGUGCAUGACCGGCGUAGAGAUACGCUUUUCCUUCGGGACAUGUAUAGAGUGCUGCAUGCUGUCGUCAGCUC
This 808-nucleotide ribosomal RNA is filed under the name uncultured bacterium. RNAcentral describes it as "bacterial SSU rRNA". It matches the Rfam family "Bacterial small subunit ribosomal RNA", at positions 253 to 1061 of the family's 1533-position model. The record is from RNAcentral.